UGAACCGAAGUCGUGUAACGAUCGACAUAGAAUUAUCUAUACUCCGUUAGAGCGUUUUCUUUGUACUAAAAGUUGUAUUAUAUUAUAUUUUUCAUUGCUUUUUACUAUUUUGUAAAAACAAAUUUCCAAUGAAUUAAAACAAUAACAUGAACAAUUGUAAUGACACCAUUGCGCGAUCAACGCCAUCUAUCUACGGAGUAUAGGAACAGCCCGACAUUGUUCAAUUCCGUACUAUAAGUACUGUUCGGAAACUUCUCCGAACCGAAUAUAAAAACUUCUCGAACAUAAAUACUUUUUGUUUGCUGGCUGGCGACGGCAUCAGAGGGAGGAUCACGACUCGCACUUUCGCCCGAGCAGCUGUAAGCAUCACAUGUACGCGUCGCGCGCAUCAAAAUUAUUCUUUUGUUUUUUCUCAAACCGUUUUGUAAUCCGUUGUACAUAAAUAAACCAGUACCUAUUAUAUUUUUAUAUUAUUAUACAGCCCAAGUAUUCUCUCCCUAACAAGUACUAUAAGUACGGAAUUGAACAAUAGAUGGCGCUGUAUGUCCGGAAUAAAUUAUUUUUUUAUUUUAUUUUUUUGAUUUUUGAAAUAAAAACUAUGUCCUAUGUCCUUUCUAAGGUUCUAAACUAUAUCUGUACCAAAUUUCAACCAAAUCCGUCAAAUAGUUGCGGAGAUUAAUGGUAUAAGCACAGAAUAGUGUUCGACGUGAUUAUUUAAUUUGUCAUAACUUUUUUAUUUAUGAACCGAUUGACAUGAAACAAACACUAAAAUAAUGUUAAUUGAAGCAUAGUACAAUAUAUUCGUGAAAACCGCAUCCAACUCGAAUCAGCCGUUUCUGAGAUUAGCGUGCACAGAUAAACAGACAAACAGACAAAAAAAAAGUUAAUUACAUUUUUAGGUUCGACAUCGACAUAACAAUAACCCCUGCUAUUUUUUUUAUUUUUAUUUUCAAUGUACAGACAGCACUUUUCUACGAUUUUAUUAUAUAUAUAGAUAGAUAUAUAGAUAUUAAGAUUUACUUUGUAAUCUGGCUUUUUACACCAAAUAAAUAUUUUAUUAUUAUUACUAGCAAACCCCGCAAAUGUUUCGCCACCAGAUGUUUCUUUUUGUAACAUUUCGUUUGGGUAAUAAAAGAUGAAGAAAAAUUA
Molecule: long non-coding RNA, 1149 nt
Organism: Spodoptera frugiperda (fall armyworm)
Lineage: Eukaryota; Metazoa; Arthropoda; Insecta; Lepidoptera; Noctuidae
Exons: 2
Source: RefSeq, a predicted model, not a curated record